GGCUUGGCCCUGCGCGGCCAGAACUUCCCGAAUCCCGCCAGGCCCGAGAGGGAGCACCGGUACGGAAUCAUUCUGGGGUGCCGCAGUCUGCCGAGCUGGA
Molecule: signal recognition particle RNA, 100 nt
Filed under: Chloroflexota bacterium
Lineage: Bacteria; Bacillati; Chloroflexota
Description: Chloroflexi bacterium (groundwater metagenome) signal recognition particle sRNA small type
Rfam family: Bacterial small signal recognition particle RNA
About the family: The signal recognition particle (SRP) is a universally conserved ribonucleoprotein involved in the co-translational targeting of proteins to membranes. Archaeal SRP consists of a 7S RNA and homologues of the eukaryotic SRP19 and SRP54 proteins. In most bacteria, the SRP consists of a 4.5S RNA and the Ffh protein (a homologue of the eukaryotic SRP54 protein).
Source: RNAcentral